AUUGCUUAAUGGGCGAAAGCCUGAAGCAGCAACGCUGCGUGGACGAAGGAGGCCUUCGGGUCGUAAAGUCCUUUUAUGUGUGAAGAGGAAGGACGGUAGCACAUGAAUAAGUCUCGGCUAACUACGUGCCAGCAGCCGCGGUAAAACGUAGGAGACGAGCGUUAUCCGGAUUUACUGGGCGUAAAGCGCGUGUAGGAGGCUUUGAAAGUUGGAUGUAAAAUCUCCCGGCUUAACUGGGAGGCGUCGUUCAAAACUGCGGAGCUAGAGUAGUGGAGAGGUAAUCGGAACUCCGGGAGUAGCGGUGAAAUGCGUAGAUAUCCGGAAGAACACCAGAGGCGAAAGCGGAUUACUGGCCACCAACUGACACUGAGACGCGAAAGCCAGGGUAGCAAACG
RNAcentral lists this ribosomal RNA (395 nucleotides) under uncultured bacterium. Its description in RNAcentral is "partial 16S ribosomal RNA". It matches the Rfam family "Bacterial small subunit ribosomal RNA", at positions 363 to 774 of the family's 1533-position model. The record is from RNAcentral.